GUUCUUCGAUACCGUUGAAGAAUGAUGCCUGCUCAGUGAUUGCUAAUAAUUAAUAAAGUCAAUUAAACAGCCGCGGUAACUCUGACCGUGAUAAAGUAGCAUAAUAAUUUGUCAUUUAAUUGAUGACUGGAAUGAAUGGCUCUACGAAUCUUUAACUGUCUCAAAAUAAGACUCCACGAAUUUGAAAUUGUAGUGAAGAUGCUACAUAUUAACUGCAAGACGAAAAGACCCUAUUGAGCUUUACUGCUAUUCUUAAUUAAUAGUUAAGAAGAGACAGUUUGGUUGGGGCGACCCCCUCUUAAACAGUAACAGAGGGAUUCAAAGGUAAAAUAAAAUAACUUACUUGAUUGAAACAAUGAUUAUUGUAACAAGUACUAUCAGUAGGAUUUAAAUACCCAUUUGAAGUCUAUGUCAUUUCAAAUGUCAAUAAAAUAAGUUACCAUAGGGAUAACAGGGUAAUAUUUUCAAAGAGCUCAAAUCGAAGAAAAUGUUUGCCACCUCGAUGUUGAAUUGUGGUAUCCUGGGGGUGCAGCAGCUCCCGAGGGUUA
This 548-nucleotide ribosomal RNA is filed under the name Drymonema larsoni. RNAcentral's name for it is "partial 16S large subunit ribosomal RNA". It matches the Rfam family "Bacterial large subunit ribosomal RNA", at positions 1818 to 2574 of the family's 2925-position model. The record is from RNAcentral. Lineage: Eukaryota; Metazoa; Cnidaria; Scyphozoa; Semaeostomeae; Drymonematidae.